This 294-nucleotide ribosomal RNA is filed under the name uncultured bacterium. RNAcentral describes it as "partial 16S ribosomal RNA". It matches the Rfam family "Bacterial small subunit ribosomal RNA", at positions 505 to 796 of the family's 1533-position model. The record is from RNAcentral.
GUGCCAGCCGCCGCGGUAAUACAGAGGGUGCGAGCGUUGUUCGGAAUUACUGGGCGUAAAGCGCGCGCAGGCGGCCUUUUAAGUCUACCCGUGAAAUGCCGGGGCUCAACUCCGUGCACGCCGGGGGAUACUGGGAGGCUGGAGACAUGUAGAGGCAAGCGGAAUUCCGGGUGUAGCGGUGGAAUGCGUAGAGAUCCGGAAGAACACCUGAGGCGAAGGCGGCUUGCUGGGCAUGAUCUGACGCUGAGGCGCGAAAGCGUGGGGAGCAAACAGGAUUAGAAACCCUAGGAGUAC